CCUACGGGUGGCAGCAGUGGGGAAUAUUGGGCAAUGGAGGCAAGUCUGAUCCAGCGACGCCGCGUGAGGGAGGAAGUCUUUCGGUUUGUAAACUUCUAUUAGCAGGGACGAACAGAAGCCGUUACCCAUUGAAUAAGCCCCGGCUAACUACUUCCCAGCACCCGCGGUAAUACGUAGGGGGCAGCAGUUUUCCGGAUUUACUGGUUGUAAAGGGAGGGCAGCCGGGAAGACAAGUCAGAUGUGAAAGGCCGCGGCUCAACCUCGGAACUGCAUUUGAAACUGUUUUGCUGGAGUACAGGAGAGGUAAGUGGAAUUCCUAGUGUAGCGGUGAAAUGCGUAGAUAUUAGGAAGAACACCAGUGGCGAAGGCGGAUUACUGGACGAUAACUGACGGUGAGGCGCGAAAGCGUGGGGAGCAAACAGGAUUAGAUACCCGGGUAGUC
This 442-nucleotide ribosomal RNA is filed under the name uncultured bacterium. RNAcentral describes it as "partial 16S ribosomal RNA". It matches the Rfam family "Bacterial small subunit ribosomal RNA", at positions 338 to 795 of the family's 1533-position model. The record is from RNAcentral.